GUAGACCUGAAGCAGCGUACAUAAUAAAUCAACAAAGAAAUAGUAUCAAGGUCUGUUUUGAAAAUUUUGUGAGGACAUGUGGUUGUAUCGACAACGUGUCUUUUAGGAAAACGUCUGUUCAAAGAGGCGAACUUAUGAAUUGCAUCAGCAACAGAGUAUUUGGUCUGUCCAGAUACACAAGCCUCCAUAUCUUCUGGGCUUAGCUGAGUCUGUAAGAAGAGGUGAAGCCUACUGUCUGAAAGCAAUAACGCGUCUUGUAGGAUUCUGGAAAAAGAAGAAAAGUUAAAUGUUUUUAUACAGAUGCACAUACAUACAUAUAUUCUAAAGUAUUUUACCAGAACAAAUUCUAAAUGACGUCCUGCUUUUGAAUUUUCAGAUGAAUCCUAGAUCAGUAACAGAAGGUAAUGAACAUAUUAAAAUGAUUAGGUGUGUGUUACUUUCUUAUUACAUUAUUUGGAAUUUUAGGUGAGUAAAAACAUGAAGCUAAUAGUUAGGCACAUCUGCUAUUAGAAUAACUUCAAGGACAUUUCUUUCAUUUAACCAUCUGUUAUUACCACAUGGAUCAAUUAAUGAUUUUUAGGCAGUUGGAGGCAUAUACUUUUAGGAAAAUUUGGUCUCCAUUUAAGAACUCUUUUUUUUUUUUUUUAAAUAGGUAAGCUUUUCUAAAAAUUACAAGUCACCAAUUUCUUUAGUGGGGGGGAAGAAGUGUGUACAGAGACAGAGGACUUCAUCCACAUGCAGUGUCAGGACUUUGAAAUACCUGUUAACAACAGAGCAAACACUAGCCAAAAUCAUUUACGCUUUUACAAAUAUGUGUACAUUUAAGCUAGAAUGAAAAUGCUAAAACUGAACACUGACAAAUUUACUUGUAAACAGUUUUUCAAAAGUUUAGUUUUAUCUUUGGUUUAUAUGUAUUUUAAAUUAAGUCUUCAAUAAAUUUAGCACGGAGUAUUUACUUAUAUCAAGUGAGAGUAAACAAAAUACAACACAUUCCAGUAACACAAAAAAGUUGUAGAGAUACUUUUACAAGGACUGAGAAUUGAGGAUCAUCAUCACUAUUUUUGGAAAAACAAACAAACAAACAAAAAACCUUUGCUGCAACAUUUCUCUAAAGAAGGAAUCGUUAAUACUCAAAUCCUAGAAUGAUUAACGAGAUUUUUUUAUAUGUAAAUGUAAUUUUACUCAUGUAAUAGAGUCAUCAGAGCCUAUGACCAUGCCAAACAGUGCUCCAUAGAAAAUUAUUAAAAUAUCUUUAAACGAAUCACAACUGUUAAAGAGUCAAUAUUUACCUAUUUCUACCCAUUUAGGUUACAAAAGAAGUCAUUGCUAUGCAAUAGGAAACAAGAGAUGACAUUAAUGUAAGAACUAGUAAGAGCAGAAAGAAAUAUUGCAUUCUAUAGGUACUCUGACUAGAAUUAAAAGUGUAACUGAUUAGUUCCUUUUCUCAGAUAAGAUUAAUGGUGUGUUUGGACUGUAGUGUUUUAAAAUACAAACACAUUAUGAAAACUGUUCUCUAAAGUGGCCAACAUUACAACAACAUUUAGCAAAUACACUAAAGGAUUUCUAGCUUCGUCUAAGCCUAUUAAAAAAAAAAAACAACCAAACUGUCAAAUCAAGUAAUAAGAUACCUAACUGAAAAC
This is a long non-coding RNA of Athene cunicularia (burrowing owl), 1640 nucleotides long. RefSeq lists it as uncharacterized. Lineage: Eukaryota; Metazoa; Chordata; Aves; Strigiformes; Strigidae. The record is from RefSeq and is a predicted model, not a curated record. The transcript has 2 exons.